This 468-nucleotide ribosomal RNA is filed under the name uncultured bacterium. RNAcentral's name for it is "partial 16S ribosomal RNA". It matches the Rfam family "Bacterial small subunit ribosomal RNA", at positions 28 to 507 of the family's 1533-position model. The record is from RNAcentral.
GACGAACGCUGGCGGCGUGCUUAACACAUGCAAGUCGAACGGAAAGGCCCUGCGUUUGUGGGGUGCUCGAGUGGCGAACGGGUGAGUAACACGUGAGUAACCUGCCCUUGACUUUGGGAUAACUUCAGGAAACUGGGGCUCAUACCGGAUAGGAGCUCCUGCUGCGUGGUGGGGGUUGGAAAGUUUCGGCGGUUGGGGAUGGACUCGCGGCUUAUCAGCUUGUUGGUGGGGUAGGGGCUUACCAAGGCUUUGACGGGUAGCCGGCCUGAGAGGUUGACCGGCCACCUUGGGACUGAGAUACGGACCAGACUCCUACGGGAGGCAGCAGUGGGGAAUAUUGCACAAUGGGCGGAAGCCUGAUGCAGCAACGCCGCGUGCGGGAUGACGGCCUUCGGGUUGUAAACCGCUUUCGCCGGUGACGAAGCGUGAGUGACGGUAAUGGGUAAAGAAGCACCGGCUAACUACGUG